UACGUAGGGUGCAAGCGUUGUCCGGAAUUAUUGGGCGUAAAGAGCUCGUAGGCGGUUUGUCGCGUCUGCUGUGAAAACCUAAGGCUCAACCUUGGGCUUGCAGUGGGUACGGGCAGACUAGAGUGCGGUAGGGGGUGACUGGAAUUCCUGGUGUAGCGGUGGAAUGCGCAGAUAUCAGGAGGAACACCGAUGGCGAAGGCAGGUCACUGGGCCGCAACUGACGCUGGAGGAAGCGGAAAGCAUGGGGAGCGAACAGG
This 257-nucleotide ribosomal RNA is filed under the name uncultured bacterium. Its description in RNAcentral is "partial 16S ribosomal RNA". It matches the Rfam family "Bacterial small subunit ribosomal RNA", at positions 524 to 776 of the family's 1533-position model. The record is from RNAcentral.